RNAcentral lists this transfer RNA (75 nucleotides) under bacterium. Its description in RNAcentral is "tRNA-Cys". It matches the Rfam family "tRNA". Rfam says of the family: Transfer RNA (tRNA) molecules are approximately 80 nucleotides in length. Their secondary structure includes four short double-helical elements and three loops (D, anti-codon, and T loops). RNAcentral also lists the same sequence under 1 other name. The record is from RNAcentral.
GGCGUGGUGGCGAAGUGGUAACGCGGUGGUCUGCAAAACCACUAUGCAUGGGUUCAAUUCCCAUCCACGCCUCCA